CCUCGCUACCCCAUGACAAAGUCAUCUUAUUUCUUUUACUUUUUUUAACCGACUAUAAUAUCAUCCAGCACUAACGCUUCCUAUUUACAACUUUUGCAAAGAAAGCAGUUCUGAACUUUCGAGACGUUUUAAUUUUAAUAUCAUAUUUGUAACUACCGGCCCGAACUGGGUUUGAAGAGGAGAUUGGAGAAAAAUUUAUAUUUAUCCGCUAAUUCAAAUCAAAUAUUGAAAUUUAAUAAAAAAAAUAUAUGUAUACACCCAUACAUAUAAUAUUUUAAGUCCUUAAUCUUAUUUAAAGUACAAACCUUAUUAGGUAUUAAGGUGUGGUUGAUCUGUAGCCGCGUGGGCGGUGCUAAAAUAGCGGAGAACCUCGCGUACCAACGCUUACUCAGAAAACUAUGAAGAUCCUAAGAUUAGUCACGUCAUCCCACGCUAGCACGGUCUUAUGUCUGAAAACUGUAACAUUACCUGGACAUGUAAUGAAUUUAUUUUUCUAAUUACUUCUACAAAAACUUUCAACUUACAAUUGACUUAUCUAAUGGGAUGCAGUCAAGUGAAUAGACAUUUUU
This is a long non-coding RNA of Danaus plexippus (monarch butterfly), 569 nucleotides long. RefSeq lists it as uncharacterized. The record is from RefSeq and is a predicted model, not a curated record. NCBI's taxonomy places the organism in Eukaryota, Metazoa, Arthropoda, Insecta, Lepidoptera, Nymphalidae. The transcript has 2 exons.